Molecule: ribosomal RNA, 439 nt
Filed under: uncultured bacterium
Lineage: Bacteria
Description: bacterial SSU rRNA
Rfam family: Bacterial small subunit ribosomal RNA
Source: RNAcentral
UACGGAAGGCAGCAGUGGGGAAUAUUGCACAAUGGGCGCAAGCCUGAUGCAGCCAUGCCGCGUGUAUGAAGAAGGCCUUCGGGUUGUAAAGUACUUUCAGUCGUGAGGAAGGUGUUAAGGUUAAUAACCUUAGCAAUUGACGUUAGCGACAGAAGAAGCACCGGCUAACUCCGUGCCAGCAGCCGCGGUAAUACGGAGGGUGCGAGCGUUAAUCGGAAUUACUGGGCGUAAAGGGCACGCAGGCGGUUAAUUAAGUUGGAUGUGAAAUCCCCGGGCUUAACCUGGGAAUGGCAUUCAAGACUGGUUAGCUAGAGUCUUGUAGGGGGGUAGAAUUCCAUGUGUAGCGGUGAAAUGCGUAGAGAUGUGGAGGAAUACCGGUGGCGAAGGCGGCCCCUGGACAAAGGACUGACGCUCAUGUGCGAAAGCGUGGGGAGCAAAC